Molecule: ribosomal RNA, 712 nt
Filed under: Legionella pneumophila
Lineage: Bacteria; Pseudomonadati; Pseudomonadota; Gammaproteobacteria; Legionellales; Legionellaceae
Description: partial 23S ribosomal RNA
Rfam family: Bacterial large subunit ribosomal RNA
Source: RNAcentral
UAUUGAGGUUCUAACUUGGUCCAGUAAUCCUGGAUGAGGACAGUGUAUGAUGGGUAGUUUGACUGGGGCGGUCUCCUCCCAAAGAGUAACGGAGGAGCACAAAGGUACCCUCGGUACGGUCGGACAUCGUACCAAGAGUGUAAAGGCAAAAGGGUGCUUGACUGCGAGAGUGACGGCUCGAGCAGGAACGAAAGUUGGUCUUAGUGAUCCGGUGGUUCUGAAUGGAAGGGCCAUCGCUCAACGGAUAAAAGGUACUCCGGGGAUAACAGGCUGAUACCGCCCAAGAGUUCAUAUCGACGGCGGUGUUUGGCACCUCGAUGUCGGCUCAUCACAUCCUGGGGCUGAAGCAGGUCCCAAGGGUAUGGCUGUUCGCCAUUUAAAGUGGUACGCGAGCUGGGUUUAGAACGUCGUGAGACAGUUCGGUCCCUAUCUGCCGUGGGCGUAGGAAAAUUGAGAGGAGCUGCUCCUAGUACGAGAGGACCGGAGUGGACGAACCUCUGGUGCACCGGUUGUCACGCCAGUGGCAUGGCCGGGUAGCUAAGUUCGGACGGGAUAACCGCUGAAAGCAUCUAAGCGGGAAGCCUCCCUCAAGAUGAGUUUUCCCAUGAAGCCCGUUGAAGACUACGACGUUGAUAGGCAAGGUGUGGAAGCGCAGUAAUGCGUGAAGCUAACUUGUACUAAUUGGCUGAUUGUCUUGACCAUAUAAUCUGAG